RNAcentral lists this long non-coding RNA (493 nucleotides) under Homo sapiens (human). RNAcentral describes it as "non-protein coding LINC02056:26". Lineage: Eukaryota; Metazoa; Chordata; Mammalia; Primates; Hominidae. The record is from RNAcentral.
GCGGGGCUAGGAAAAUUGCUGCCUGGGUCGGCUGGGCCUGUGGGCCUGCGUCCGACAGCGCGCGGCCGUGCUUUCUAAGCGGGCUCGGCAGCACCAGACUUCACCGGCCCGGCGCGGGGCUCACAAGUGCUCGCACUCCCUGCGGCCGGCGCGCUGACCGGAGCCUCUGGGUCUCGCACGCAGCAGCUGCAGACGCUGCCCGGCGCGGUGGGGCUGUGAGCAAAACGGCCCGCCGGUGUGGUUGCCCAGACUGUGCUGGGCCCUCCUAGGUGGAUGGCCCUGCCCCAGCCUAACUUCUGUACCCCAGCAUAACCUCCAAAGUAACAGCCGUGCCCUGGGAGCCUGUUCAACACUGAACAUAUCCCACAAUAACACUGUUCCAGCGUCGCUGGUAAAAAGCAGAAAUGGCUUCGCUGGAGGCAUCGACAAAUCUAAUGCAGUAACCUCAUUUUACAGAAGAGAACUCUAAGAGGAUAACUAACUUGGCCAAGAU